CCAAUAGCGUAUAUUAAAGUUGUUGCAGUUAAAAAGCUCGUAGUUGAAUUUCGGGAUUGACACAUCGGUUGUGCCCUAAGGGGUAUGAACUGGUGUAGUCAAUUUCUCACCUUCUGGAGAACCGCGCUGUCCUUAAUUGGGUGACGCGGGGAACCAGGACCUUUACUUUGAAAAAAUUAGAGUGUUUAAAGCAGGCAUUUUGCUUGAAUACAUUAGCAUG
This 220-nucleotide ribosomal RNA is filed under the name uncultured Entrophospora. RNAcentral describes it as "uncultured Claroideoglomus partial small subunit ribosomal RNA". It matches the Rfam family "Eukaryotic small subunit ribosomal RNA", at positions 591 to 811 of the family's 1831-position model. Lineage: Eukaryota; Fungi; Glomeromycota; Glomeromycetes; Entrophosporales; Entrophosporaceae. The record is from RNAcentral.